This 247-nucleotide ribosomal RNA is filed under the name uncultured bacterium. RNAcentral's name for it is "partial small subunit ribosomal RNA". It matches the Rfam family "Bacterial small subunit ribosomal RNA", at positions 26 to 285 of the family's 1533-position model. The record is from RNAcentral.
AGAAUCAACGCUGGCGGCGUGCCUAACACAUGCAAGUCGAACGAGAAAGUGGAGCAAUCCAUGAGUAAAGUGGCGCACGGGUGAGUAACACGUGACUAACCUACCCGUUGAGUGGGGAAUAACUGAGGGAAACCUUAGCUAAUACCGCAUAAUACCUACGGGUCAAAGGAGCAAUUCGGCUUAAGGAGGGGGUCGCGGCAGAUUAGCUAGUUGGCGGGGUAAUGGCCCACCAAGGCAGUGAUCUGUA